RNAcentral lists this ribosomal RNA (253 nucleotides) under uncultured bacterium. RNAcentral describes it as "partial 16S ribosomal RNA". It matches the Rfam family "Bacterial small subunit ribosomal RNA", at positions 524 to 776 of the family's 1533-position model. The record is from RNAcentral.
UACGUAGGGGGCAAGCGUUGUCCGGAUUCAUUGGGCGUAAAGAGCGUGUAGGCGGCCAGGUAGGUCGGUUGUGAAAACUGGAGGCUCAACCUUCAGAGGUCGACCGAAACCAUCUGGCUAGAGUCCGGGAGAGGAGAGUGGAAUUCCUGGUGUAGCGGUGAAAUGCGCAGAUAUCGGGAGGAAUACCGAUGGCGAAGGCAGGUCUCUGGGCUGACACUGACGCUGAGGCGCGAAAGCUAGGGGAGCGAACGGG